This 1554-nucleotide ribosomal RNA is filed under the name Staphylococcus aureus. RNAcentral describes it as "16S ribosomal RNA". It matches the Rfam family "Bacterial small subunit ribosomal RNA". The record is from RNAcentral. Lineage: Bacteria; Bacillati; Bacillota; Bacilli; Caryophanales; Staphylococcaceae.
UUUAUGGAGAGUUUGAUCCUGGCUCAGGAUGAACGCUGGCGGCGUGCCUAAUACAUGCAAGUCGAGCGAACGGACGAGAAGCUUGCUUCUCUGAUGUUAGCGGCGGACGGGUGAGUAACACGUGGAUAACCUACCCAUAAGACUGGGAUAACUUCGGGAAACCGGAGCUAAUACCGGAUAAUAUUUUGAACCGCAUGGUUCAAAAGUGAAAGACGGUCUUGCUGUCACUUAUAGAUGGAUCCGCGCUGCAUUAGCUAGUUGGUAAGGUAACGGCUUACCAAGGCAACGAUGCAUAGCCGACCUGAGAGGGUGAUCGGCCACACUGGAACUGAGACACGGUCCAGACUCCUACGGGAGGCAGCAGUAGGGAAUCUUCCGCAAUGGGCGAAAGCCUGACGGAGCAACGCCGCGUGAGUGAUGAAGGUCUUCGGAUCGUAAAACUCUGUUAUUAGGGAAGAACAUAUGUGUAAGUAACUGUGCACAUCUUGACGGUACCUAAUCAGAAAGCCACGGCUAACUACGUGCCAGCAGCCGCGGUAAUACGUAGGUGGCAAGCGUUAUCCGGAAUUAUUGGGCGUAAAGCGCGCGUAGGCGGUUUUUUAAGUCUGAUGUGAAAGCCCACGGCUCAACCGUGGAGGGUCAUUGGAAACUGGAAAACUUGAGUGCAGAAGAGGAAAGUGGAAUUCCAUGUGUAGCGGUGAAAUGCGCAGAGAUAUGGAGGAACACCAGUGGCGAAGGCGACUUUCUGGUCUGUAACUGACGCUGAUGUGCGAAAGCGUGGGGAUCAAACAGGAUUAGAUACCCUGGUAGUCCACGCCGUAAACGAUGAGUGCUAAGUGUUAGGGGGUUUCCGCCCCUUAGUGCUGCAGCUAACGCAUUAAGCACUCCGCCUGGGGAGUACGACCGCAAGGUUGAAACUCAAAGGAAUUGACGGGGACCCGCACAAGCGGUGGAGCAUGUGGUUUAAUUCGAAGCAACGCGAAGAACCUUACCAAAUCUUGACAUCCUUUGACAACUCUAGAGAUAGAGCCUUCCCCUUCGGGGGACAAAGUGACAGGUGGUGCAUGGUUGUCGUCAGCUCGUGUCGUGAGAUGUUGGGUUAAGUCCCGCAACGAGCGCAACCCUUAAGCUUAGUUGCCAUCAUUAAGUUGGGCACUCUAAGUUGACUGCCGGUGACAAACCGGAGGAAGGUGGGGAUGACGUCAAAUCAUCAUGCCCCUUAUGAUUUGGGCUACACACGUGCUACAAUGGACAAUACAAAGGGCAGCGAAACCGCGAGGUCAAGCAAAUCCCAUAAAGUUGUUCUCAGUUCGGAUUGUAGUCUGCAACUCGACUACAUGAAGCUGGAAUCGCUAGUAAUCGUAGAUCAGCAUGCUACGGUGAAUACGUUCCCGGGUCUUGUACACACCGCCCGUCACACCACGAGAGUUUGUAACACCCGAAGCCGGUGGAGUAACCUUUUAGGAGCUAGCCGUCGAAGGUGGGACAAAUGAUUGGGGUGAAGUCGUAACAAGGUAGCCGUAUCGGAAGGUGCGGCUGGAUCACCUCCUUUCU